Molecule: non-coding RNA, 221 nt
Organism: Arachis ipaensis
Lineage: Eukaryota; Viridiplantae; Streptophyta; Magnoliopsida; Fabales; Fabaceae
Source: RefSeq, a predicted model, not a curated record
CACAGAAAAUUCCCAAAUGUCACUCGAUAGUAUUUUAUUCCAUUCUUCAACACGAUGCUGUUAGCGCAACAAGCGUCCAAGUGUUUCCGCAGCUAAUGGCAAACCAUCACACCUCUUGACAAUCUUUCUACCUAUUUCUUCCAGUUCCGAGCUCCCAUUUGAUUCAGGAAAGGAUGCAUUGUCUGCAAAAAUAGACCAACAAUAAUCGUCUGACAGUUCCU